Meleagris gallopavo (turkey) is the source of this 67-nucleotide non-coding RNA. Lineage: Eukaryota; Metazoa; Chordata; Aves; Galliformes; Phasianidae. The record is from Ensembl.
GCCCCCAUAGCUUAACCAAAAGCAUGGCACUGAAGAUGCCAAGACGGUAGCAUAAUUACCUGUGGGC